Molecule: long non-coding RNA, 800 nt
Organism: Phyllopteryx taeniolatus (common seadragon)
Lineage: Eukaryota; Metazoa; Chordata; Actinopteri; Syngnathiformes; Syngnathidae
Exons: 2
Source: RefSeq, a predicted model, not a curated record
AACACGCUCCUUUCACCUGUCGCACGCCGGGCUCCUCGGACGAGUCCAGGGGAAGUUUCUUCAGGACGACAUUGUCGAAGUCGAGCCGCUCCAGCGCGGAACGACUCACGGCCAGACCCAUUUCGUCCAUCCCGACCGAGCCUCCAACUUGAGCCAGGCCCAUCUCCACCUGCACCUGAUGGCAGCUAUAAGCUGUGCCACGUGAAUAGCAUCCUCAUCUUUAAGCACUCUCCUUCUGGAAAAGAAUUGACUCAAAUCAUUGUCUGUUUCACUUCAUUUUUCACUAUUACCAGCUUCAAAAUACUCAAGUAAAAGGUUUGUUGCAAUAAAACUGCUACUACAAUUGAUCAAAAAAGGAAAUAUAAGAAAGUGUAGCCCAUUGCUGCCCACCUCUGCUAUUACUUAAUGAAAAGAUUAAAAAAAAUACCUCAUGAUUUCACUGAUGUUGAGAUGCUUAUCCCAGUUUCUUUCAAUGCCAGGGACAUGACCCAUUCCGACAACUCCCACCACGACAGCAGGUACUUCUACAAGAGUGUAUAGAGAGUCAUACGUCAUAAUACACAAACAAACCACAGAUUAAUGAAUAAUAAAUUAAGGAAUAUAUUGUAAUAUUUACUUGAGUCUAGUCAAAGAGAUGUUUUUUGAUGAUGAAGUAUUUUGGAGAGGAAAAUCCCACCACAGACAAUAGAUGCAAAUGAAAACAUGCAAAUGCCAGCUCUUCUUUUUGUGAAAAAGGUGUGGUUUUGUGUGGUCAAUGCACAAAAGUGCGAAAGACAAAAUAUUAAAUUGAUUUAUAUGAA